RNA transcript from Numida meleagris (helmeted guineafowl), 5159 nucleotides. It is a transcript of the gene named KIAA1841 ortholog, with no coding region annotated. The transcript has 18 exons. The record is from RefSeq and is a predicted model, not a curated record. NCBI's taxonomy places the organism in Eukaryota, Metazoa, Chordata, Aves, Galliformes, Numididae.
GACAACCAAUAUAAUCCCUUGAUGGCUGCUGGUGAGAAUCCUGUGGAAACUUUAGCUAUGUACAUCAAAUCCUCCUUGCUCGAUACACGGACAGAGUUUCAGGACCCUGCUAUUGGGCAGGAUUCCAUUACUAUAACUGAAGAAAAGCAGCUGUUUGACCUUCGCUGGAGAACAAAUGUUUUUAAUAUAGCUAAGAGAGAUGACAUAUGAAAACUGUAUAUGGAAUAUGUAGACCAGAAUUGCUUUUAUCAGCUUUCAACUUUUUGCUUGCUAAACACAGUACCUGGAACAAAUACUUCUUGCACCUGCAGGUGGCUGCUUAGAAGAUUGUUAGCUUCCCAGUAGGUAGUUAACUCUGCUCAUAGAGCUCUUUAGACAGCUAGUACACGUUUUCUUUUUAACUGUUUAAUACGUGUGAGAAGUAUUAAUGUAGUUAAGUACCCUAAUGUUUCCUAAUAAAAGAUAAUAGUAGCAUGAGAGAUUCUCUAUUGCUUUUUUUCUACCGUAUUUUCUUUGUGACUGGAAUAAAUUAUUUUUUGUUUAUAUUAUAACUUAAUAGGAAAUUAAGAAUUUUUUUCUCACAGGUUUGUAGUGAGUUCACCUUCUAAAUAUUUGUGAGGUACUCAUAUUUCAGAAUUAAGGAUUUGAGAAAAGUCCAUUUGCGAAUUGUUUUUUUUUUUCAUUCAAUUAUUUAUAUGGCCAAAAAUGUUGAGCCUGUUUGGAUUUACUUGUAGACUUGAGUAAAAGUAAUCAAACCAAAUUCAUUUUGAAUUGGGGUCUUUUUUUGAGUUGUGAAACCUUGUUUACUACUUGCUGAUUACAAGGGAAACUGCUGCCAAGUCCUUCUGAAUGGCAGUAAACAAGUGUAUAGGACAGACUUACCUAAGUUAGUAGCUUUCAAAAUUUGAGUCAUCUAUAAGCUCUGAAAGAAGACAGGGAAGAAAAGCAAAGUAGAAACGUAUGGUGAAGUUCAGUUAAUCUGACUUGCAUAUUCUUGACAGCAUUAUUUCCUUUUCUUCGUUAGAUAUUCUCACUGCGUCCAAAAUAAUUUGUUAAUAUUUACAGACAAAACUCUUCCAUGUAAUUUUUUUCCACAGACGUUUCCUUUCAAAAUAUUCAUUUUACCUUGUGUUCAGAAUAUGAACUUCUACCUUGGCAGUAUUUCUGCUAGCAUGGGUCAUCUGCCUGCAGUUGAAUGGCUACACUGAAGUCUGUGGCUGACCCAGUCACUUCCAAGGUUCUUCUAGGGUCUGUCCAAUACAUUUCCCGUUUUACUGACUAGCUUUCUUUAAUUAUGAACUUACUGAGGCUUAGCUGGGCAGGACUGCAGGCUGUAUCAUUGGAGAAUGCCCAGAAGGCAUAACUGCUGUGUUCUGAACUGCAUAGAGCUUCCAAAUCAUUUGUUGUCAUUAUCCUGUUGUAGCGUAGCCAUAAGAUGAGAAGAGCUAUCUUAGUCUUCCUCAGAAUAGUUCAGGAUCCUCUAUGACAUGAGAGGGAGAAGAUGCUUCUGGAACCCUAUGAUCUUUAAGAUCUUGUCCAAACUAAGCCAUCGCAGUAGGAAAAGUUAUUCAAAGUGUGAAGCUGGGGUUAUCUUAGUUCUUGAUGCAGAACCCAAUGGGUUUAUUGACUAGACCUGCUAGUCUUCACAGUUUUUUCUGUCUGUCACACAGCCUGAGUGUGUUUGUGAGGAAAACAUUUGCAAUAGAACUCAGCUGCCCUUUAUGCUUGAAAUAAGCUGCAUAAUGUAGUUCUAGGAAGAGAGAGAUUUAAUGCUCAGCUUUUUAUGAGAGUUGUUUUAUCCCGCUGGCUGCUUUAAUCCACGUAUUUAUGAAACUUAUCAAAAACGCAUUUACAGAGACUCCUAUGCAUUUGUUUGGAAGCAACUUAUUUUCAGAGCUAAAAAAAUGCAAGGAUAAGAAGUGGAGUUAGUCUCAAGUAGUUAUAUUUUGACAGUGAAUUUUCCUGAAAGCAGGAAUUUUGAUGUGGUCUUGAGACCAGUAUCCCACAAAGUGGAUGAAAAGAGCUUAGGGGAUGGGUUGUAUUCCCAAAAACAAAGACUGAAGACGCUGCUGAUCUGGGUUCACAGCCAAGUGCCUGGGCAACCCAGCACUGCUGUUGAUGUAAGUUUCUGUUGCGUGGUAUUCAGAGCAGGGAUUUGGAUUAUCUAGUAACCCUUGUGGUGGCACAAAUCUGUUGCUCGUUGUUUAACAUUGCUCUGCAAUGGAAGCUGUACUUCCAUUGGAUUUCCAAGAUACUGCAAAGCAGAAGGUUAGACAUCUUUUAUCUAAUGCAACCUUUUUCUCCUUACACUUAAGGAAGACCCAGCACGACCUCCACAAAGAAUUGUUCUUCAGAAUCUGACAAAGGUCCCGUGCAUAAAGGUGUAGAAAGCACUGACGAAAGCCAGGGGCCAAAUAUGGUGAUCCACGUGUGUGAUGAAGCAAAAAACCUCAAAGAAGAUUUUGUUUGUCCUCGAGAUCUUUUGAUUUCUGAAAUGAAAUACUUUGCUGAAUAUCUGUCAGUGGAUGCCCAGCGCUGGGAAGAAGUGGACAUUUCAGUGCACUGUGACGUUCACAUCUUUGACUGGUUGAUAAGAUAUGUUAAAAGGAAUACCAAAGAUGGUGAAGCUUAUGAAAUCCCUGCCUUAGAACCAGCAAAUGUCAUAUCAAUUCUUAUUUCUUCUGAGUUUUUGAAGAUGGAUUCAUUAGUAGAAAAAUGUAUUCAUUAUUGUCACAAAAAUAUGAAUGCUAUUGUAGCCACACCUUGUAACAUGAAUUGUAUCAAUGCUAAUCUUGUCGGGCAUAUUGCUGAUCUCUUUACUCACAAUGAACUGGAAGAGCUGAAGGACAAGAGAGAUAAAUUUAAAAGUAAACUUUUCUGCAAGAAGAUUGAGAGACUGUUUGAUCCAGAGUACAUAAAUCCAGAUUCUCGAGGAAAUGCAGCUACCUUAUACAGAUGUUGUUUAUGUAAAAAGCUGUUAACUAAAGAAACUGAAAGAAGAAUUCCGUGUGUACCAGGAAAAAUCAACAUAGAUCAACAUGGGAAUAUUGUCUAUGUUCAUAUAAGAGAUAAAACGUGGGAAGUCCAUGAGUACUUAAUUGGCCUUCAUGAAGAAUUGAAAUCUUGGCAGGAUGUCUAUUGGCGUCUCUGGGGGACUGUCAAUUGGUUGACCUGCUCAAGAUGUAACCAGUCUUUCCUGUGUACUGAAUUUUCCCAUUGCCAGUACCAUCCGCAGUCAGUUCUUUAUCCAGGUGUAGCAAGUGCUCUGGGGUCAACUGGGACAGGAGUAUAUCCAUGUUGCAACCAAAAAGUACUUCGAUUUGAUCCUACUACCCUGCCAAAGGGCUGUAAAGUGAGGGAUCAUGUGACUAGUUUACCUUCUGGAAAUGAAGAUGGGGAUUCUUUGCCUUCUCAGACCACUAAAAUACUGAACGAUCUGCUCCAUCAUAGAGAAGUUAUUGUUGUUCCUUUUACUAAGGACGAGAAUAGUGACUCUGGUAUUGGGCUCUGUGAUGAAAAAGGCAUCGAAUGUGAUGUGCUCGUAGAACCAAAUACACCGUGGGGCCCCAAAACUGGAGAAAUCAAUGCUUUUCUUUCUCUGAAGAACUGGACUUUACAACUGAAACAGCAGUCGUUGUUAUCUGAAGAAGAGGAGUAUACCACUGGCUCUGAGGUCACUGAGGAUGAAGUAGGGGAUGAAGAAGAAGUAUGCAGGAAACCAGGGAGAAAGGAGAAACUAAAGAAAUUCUAUAAACACCCAAAGAAAGGGGCUUCUUCACCUAGUAUUCAGAAAAAGGAGAAGCCAUCUGACAAGCCAAGUUCCCGAGAUGCAUCUCCAUUCACUGUAAGUGUGCAGCAGAACAAAUGGGAUGCCUCCAGGUCACUAAGAUUCAACCAAGAUGCUCAAAGAGAAGAUGGAAUAAAAAAAUCUCUGUGUCAGGAAAAUGGAAAGAGAACCUACCAUGAACUACACUGUAGUCUUGCAUACAGACUGAAAAAUAAAUGGGCAGCUUUGGACCCUCAGACUAGGAAAGUAUUUGGAAGGAAUUCCAAGUUUGCAGGAAAAAAAACAUUCCAUUCAAAUUGUGUUAGGAGCGUUUAUGUUCUGUAUUUGGGAAGUCUGCACAUAACCUACAGAGAUUAUAAUUGUGCCCUCUGAUGACUAUACAAGUAAGCAAAGAUAUUUUUUCAUGCAUCCCUGUGUUAUUUGUUAUCUGGAUAUCUAAAAAGUGAUAAAUGUAUUUACUUGCAUCUUCUUCCCUGUCUUUCUUAUUUGAAAAUAUUCAGAAUUAUUUUAAUUUACCCAGCUUUUUAUAUCUUUGAGAUUUCUAUGUAUUUUUGCUGUUCUGAAAGUCUUUGCCUCAAAACUGUUUCCAUAUGUUUUUUUAUCUCAGUGCAAUUCCUCAGACUGAUUCUGGUAUCUGCCCAGAAUGCUUCUGAAGCUAGAUUAUUCAUCAGGAUAUAGAAUUUUGGUUGUUUAAGACUUCUGUAUGAGCUGAGAAACAAAAAAUUACUUCCUGCAAAUAGGAUCUAACUAAAAUGUGUUUUGUAUGUUGUUCUCUUUGUAUUCAGUAGUAUGGAAAGCGUUUGUUCUAAAAUAUUAUUUUUGACAGACCAGAGGAGAAUGUCUGAGAUUACAGGACACUUGAUAAAAAUCAGACUGGGAGACUUUGGUCGAAUCAAGUCAAAAGACAGCAAAGAAGUAAGACUUAUCAUAACGUAGUGAUUGCAGAAUUGAAGCAGGCCUUUGUAACAAAUGUGUAACACAAAUGAAAACACCAUUCGUUCAAUUACUAACAAAGAAUUGAGUUUAAUCUUCAUUUUCUUCUAUGCAUGAUGGUUUUUUUUGUAAAGGAGUUAAAUAACAAUUUUUAAAGUUCGCUGCCUUUAAAAAUUGAACAUGGAAAAUAGGAUGGUUUUAAAAGAAAGUGUGCUAUAGGUUCUCCUGAAUAUUAACUAUUUUUAUGAAAAAUCGCCGAUUAGAUUGGAAUAAUGUCACAACUUGGUUUUUUGCAUUUCAGUACGCCGGAGGCAUUUAUUCAAGACUUGAAGCUCAGAUAAAGGCCUCAGCACAGGUCAAUGCACGACAGAUCAACACUGAGAAGAAUGCCAGGUCAAAAUCCCGUUUUGGUCAAGGUCGUCCAACAUAAAGACUCAUG